GAUGAACGCUGGCGGCGUGCCUAAUACAUGCAAGUCGAGCGAACAGACGAGGAGCUUGCUCCUCUGACGUUAGCGGCGGACGGGUGAGUAACACGUGGAUAACCUACCUAUAAGACUGGGAUAACUUCGGGAAACCGGAGCUAAUACCGGAUAAUAUAUUGAACCGCAUGGUUCAAUAGUGAAAGACGGUUUUGCUGUCACUUAUAGAUGGAUCCGCGCCGCAUUAGCUAGUUGGUAAGGUAACGGCUUACCAAGGCAACGAUGCGUAGCCGACCUGAGAGGGUGAUCGGCCACACUGGAACUGAGACACGGUCCAGACUCCUACGGGAGGCAGCAGUAGGGAAUCUUCCGCAAUGGGCGAAAGCCUAACGGAGCAACGCCGCGUGAGUGAUGAAGGUCUUCGGACCGUAAAACUCUGUUAUUAGGGAAGAACAAAUGUGUAAGUAACUAUGCACGUCUUGACGGUACCUAAUCAGAAAGCCACGGCUAACUACGU
This 496-nucleotide ribosomal RNA is filed under the name uncultured bacterium. RNAcentral describes it as "partial 16S ribosomal RNA". It matches the Rfam family "Bacterial small subunit ribosomal RNA", at positions 28 to 506 of the family's 1533-position model. The record is from RNAcentral.